GAAAAAGGAAGUGUCGCUCUCUUUUCCGGUUCCUGCUCCAGUGGUGGGAUGUGAUUCACCAGCAAGGAGGGACAUCAAUAAGGCGUCCGAUAAGAUAAGUCUCAUAAAAUAUAUAGAUGUAUGAUAAUUGAGACUGAGCUAACAGAUGAGAAUCCUAGUCAUUGGCCAAGCAGCUUUGUAACUAAUACAAGUCUCUCUGUGUAUUCAUUUGGGCCUAACUCGGGCUGGCGGCUGGCGUAAAGCUCACAUGUGGCGAUGGGGCUCAAGCAGCUUUUGGUGGAAAGAUUUAUCGUAACACCUGGUGCCAGGAAAACCCUCAGGAAUUCAUGAAGAUGACCCCAGCUAAGACUCCUAGCAAAUAGUGGAGAAGGUGCCUGAACUGCCCUUCUCCUGUAAUCAGAUUGAUGACUACCCUAACUGUCAUCAGAGAGCCUUCAUCCAGUAACUGAUGGAAGCAGAUGCAGAGAUCCACAGCCAAGCACUGGGCAGAGCUCCAGGAGUCCUACUGGAAAAGGGGAGGAGGGAUUGUAUGAGCCUGGGGGGCGGUGUCAAGGUCAUGAUGGGGGAGCCCACUGAGACAAAUGACCUGAGCUCAAGGGAUCUCAUGGACUCUGAACCAACAGUUAGGAAGCCUAAAUGGAACUGACCAAGGCCCUCUGCCUAUGUGUGACAGUUGUGUAGCUUUUUCUGUUUGUAAGGCUCCCAGCAGUGAAAUAAGGAUCUGUCUCUGGCACUCAGCUGGAUUUUGGGAGCCUGUUUCCCAUGCUGCAUUACCUCACCCAGCCUUGAUUCAGGGGGAGGAACUCAGGAAUUGAUGCUUGAUUCAAGCUCACGAGAGGCCUGCCCCUUUCUGAAUGGAGACAGAGUAGGAGUGAAUGAAAAAAAAUAUUAAUUAAAUAACAUUAGAAAAAAGAAGAUUCACAUGAGUAGAGUGUACAAUCUCAAGGGCAAGCUGAACAUGAUUGGCAGGCCACACAGGAUGAAAACCUUUACCAUAGAGGCGUAUAAACAGAUCACAAUAGUCAAUUGUAAUGAAUGAUCUGAAGUAGACUCACUCCUAUCUGCUGGGAGGAGCAUGGAAACACAUUCCAAGACCAAUUCCAUGUUUUGAAGAAACUGAGGUCACAAGACUCUUGUUUCCUUGGAGUUUUCUCAGAAGCACUCAGAAUUCUUGCAUGAUUCCAUUCUUGGACCAUGUCCUAACAAGUGAGCGAGGCAGGCCUGUGCCACUUCUGCUUAGAGAAUGAGUUUCCAUUCAAAGCUUCCCUCACAUUGUCUUGUUUUCAUUUACUCUGAGGAAAAUUCCCAUCAAGCCAGAGUUGAGUGAGUGUUGACAGGGUAGCUGAAGUUUCAUCUCCUUUCUUGUUUGGAUACUGUUUUCAUUCUAAUUUUAGGAGGAGAAUGCUGGGGUGUAGGGAAUCGGGUAGGUUUGUGAGUUUCAAUGACUAGUUGUCAUAGCCCAGGCCUGCUGCCUUCAGGCUCCUAACUCUACUAAAGUUUUCUUUCAAAAGAGAAAUGCUGAUUGUUUACAUUUUCAAGGGAAGAAAAAACAGAAUUUUUGUUAUUUAGAGCAAUAAAAGAAGGAACACUUCUGAAAAGUACUAGUGAAAAAAAAAGAAACUAAGCAUAAAUACAUGUUGUAAUCAGGGGUAGGGGGUGUGAUGUGGUCAGUAGUAAUAGUCAAGACAGAUGACUCAGGAAGUCAGUGAAUCACUCAGAAGAAUAUGAGUUACUUAACAUCUUGUAUCAGAACAUCCUUCCUCAAUUUUAUCUGAUUUUCUAGGGAUAGUUCAUUUUUGACUUAAUUUAUAUUAAAAGCAAAUUUAAUAUUUGCCCAGCAAAUGAAUGAGCCAUGGAGAGUGAUGCUAACAGCAAUUAGGUGCUCACAAGUUUCAUCACUGCAAUUAGUGGCUCUGUCGUGCAUGGAGUGGGGUCAAGCUCUCCCACUAGAGGGCGUUGAGGUCGUGUCUCAGUUUGCCUAAGGAGGGUGUGGUCUGAUUUGUGUUCAUUAGGAGACUUUUACAUAAAGAAGUGAUGGUUUUAGAGACAGACCAAUGCAAAAGCUGUAGCUUAUCUAGUAAGUUGUAUUAUCCUUCAACCUACUUAAUAUCAUUUAUGCAAACGUAAGUCAACAGUUUCUCUUAAAAUCCUGUCCUAUAAUUAUAGUCACUGAGUUUUCAGGGAAAAAUAUUUGAAAGUUUGAGAAAGACUUGCCCUAAUGCCACACUUGUAAAGAUGUCUGAUGUUUCCUCUGACUGUAAGUAAGAGUAACUAAAUUAUUUGAUAUGAAUGUAGCUUUUAAAGAGUCUCAUCAAACAGUUGACAAGAACGUGAUUUGAGAAAGCAGGGAGAUGUCUGAGCUUUAUUUGAAUUUUUAUGAACAUAAGUUUUAAAACUAUAAAUUAAAAAGAAAAAAUCAAUUGCAUAUACAAUAAGCAAUACUUACUAAAGUGAAUUUUAAAUGUCUAAAUAUAUAGUCUGCCUAGGUAUGGAGAAAUACAGCAUCAAUGUGUCAUCAGUGGGCAUUCAACAUUCAGUCCCAAAAAGUGCAUUUAAAUAGAAACGAAGGAGGCCAGAUAUCUAGACUUCUUCUUGACUGACUAUGGCUUCGAUUCAUUGUCUGAAUAUGCUGAACCUGGAUUGUGAGCAUCAGGACUCAGGGCAGAAGAGAAUUGCAAGUAAAGAGUGAGAUGCCAGAAACCAUCCGGCCACUUUCAUCCAAUCACUUCCCACCACUUGCUCAUCGAGGUGGUGUGUGCUCCCAGACAGCCACCUGCUCAACUUUCCACUGCGUGGAAUCCCAGCUCCUUAAUCAAAACGAAACAAAAGGAUGUCUCUCUUCGGGGUGAUGAUACGAUGCACUUUCCUGCGCUCCGAGGUACCACCACGGAGAGAUGGGCAUCCUGGCGCCAGAGUGUCCUCUGAGGCUGGGCUGCCUGGGUCAGAAAGAGACAUCAGAGAUUAUAUAAUCAAGUCCUACGUUGGAUAGAGAAGAAAGCCUGAAGCCCAGAGCAGACUCGAGACUUGCCAAGGUCAUAUGAGUUUUUAAUGAACAUUUCAUUUGUGUAAAUAAAGAGGCAGCGCACAACAAGAACCACUCAUCAAAAGUCUGAUAUUUUCCUUAGAAAUAAAGACAAACAUUGUGCCUCUUAAAUGCGGUGGGAGUUGAAGGAUGGUCAAAGGUUUGUUCUCUAGGCUCUAGCGUUCUGGGGCACCAGAGACCUUUACUGGAACGGGGUAUUUACAGUUCUGGACUUUGGCUUGUUCCUGCUUCAACAUAGACUUCACCAGAUGUGAACCAGGAAACAAUGUACCCUGCGCAUCAUUCACACUGGGACCAUGUUCUCUCCAAGAAACUUUGUUUCCAGGAAGGGACUUCCCAACCCUAUACCUGUUAGCUCAGUGCUCUAGCCCUGAACUAUGUCAGCCACCAAAAAGAAAAUUCUUCCCCAUGGUCCACUGAACCACUCAAGCCUCCUGGAGAGUUGCAAAAUCUAAACAAACAGGUUGUGUUUUCAGUUUGUCUACUUUAAAACCAAACUUCACCCACGUGAAACUGGCAGGCAUGCUUCAAAUGGCGAAGGCUUCUAGGUGCUUUCUGAGCCGCUUCUGACUCACAUCCUAGCCACCUAUUUAUUCUGAGACAGGAGGACUCUUUUUUUUUUUUUCUUCAAUGUAACCAACUGGUUCUUGCCAUUUCCCCAUUGUUUCUCC
Molecule: long non-coding RNA, 3714 nt
Filed under: Cricetulus griseus (Chinese hamster)
Lineage: Eukaryota; Metazoa; Chordata; Mammalia; Rodentia; Cricetidae
Description: lncRNA (ENSCGRG00015030223.1)
Source: RNAcentral